CUCUAGGGACAAGUCCCUUGGAACAGGGCAUCGUAGAGGGUGAAAAUCCCGUACUUGCCAUGGAAGUACCGUGCUUUGUGAUACACGCUCCAAGAGUCGAGUAGUUUUGGGAUUGCUGCUCAAAGUGGGUGGUAGACUCCAUCUAAAGCUAAAUAUCGGGGAGAGACCGAUAGCGAACAAGUACCGUGAGGGAAAGAUGAAAAGCACUUUGGAAAGAGAGUUAAAAGUACGUGAAAUUGUCGAAAGGGAAGCACUUGAAGUCAGCCAUGCUGCUUGAGACUCAGCCUGGCUUUUGCUUGGUGUAUUUCUCGGUAGCAAGCCAGCAUUGGUUUGUGUCGUCGGAGAAGCGCAUGAGGGAGGUGGCAUCCUCGGAUGUGUUAUAGCCCUGUGCUCUUUUUUUUUUACGUAGACCAAGGAACGCAG
Molecule: ribosomal RNA, 423 nt
Filed under: Malassezia restricta
Lineage: Eukaryota; Fungi; Basidiomycota; Malasseziomycetes; Malasseziales; Malasseziaceae
Description: eukaryotic LSU rRNA
Rfam family: Eukaryotic large subunit ribosomal RNA
Source: RNAcentral